GUAGCUGGGCAAGCGUUGUCCGGAUUUACUGGGCGUAAAGCGCGCGUAGGUGGAAGGUCAAGUCCGGCUUGAAAGCCCCCGGCUCAACCGGGGAGAGUGGCUGGAAACUGGUCUUCUUGAGGGCGAGAGAGGAGGGUGGAAUUCCUGGUGUAGCGGUGAAAUGCGUAGAGAUCAGGAGGAACACCCGAGGCGAAGGCGGCCCUCUGGCUCGACCCUGACGCUGAGGCGCGAAAGCGUGGGGAGCGAACGGGAUUAGAUACCCCGGUAGUCCACGCCGUAAACGAUGGUCACUAGGUGUGUGCGGUAUCGACCCCGCACGUGCCGGCGCUAACGCAUUAAGUGACCCGCCUGGGGAGUACGGCCGCAAGGUUG
This 372-nucleotide ribosomal RNA is filed under the name uncultured bacterium. RNAcentral's name for it is "bacterial SSU rRNA". It matches the Rfam family "Bacterial small subunit ribosomal RNA", at positions 526 to 896 of the family's 1533-position model. The record is from RNAcentral.